UACGUAGGGGGCAAGCGUUGUCCGGAUUUAUUGGGGUUAAAGGGUGCGUAGGCGGUUUGGUAAGUCAGUGGUGAAAUAUGGCAGCUCAACUGUCAGGGUGCCAUUGAUACUGCAGAGCUUGAGUACAGAUGAGGUAGGCGGAAUUGACGGUGUAGCGGUGAAAUGCUUAGAUAUCGUCAAGAACACCGAUAGCGAAGGCAGCUUACUGGGCUGUAACUGACGCUGAGGCACGAAAGUGUGGGGAUCAAACAGG
RNAcentral lists this ribosomal RNA (253 nucleotides) under uncultured bacterium. RNAcentral's name for it is "partial 16S ribosomal RNA". It matches the Rfam family "Bacterial small subunit ribosomal RNA", at positions 524 to 776 of the family's 1533-position model. The record is from RNAcentral.